UACAGAGGUCCCAAGCGUUGUUCGGAUUCAUUGGGCGUAAAGGGUGCGUAGGUGGCGCCGUAAGUCGGGUGUGAAAUCUCGGGGCUUAACUCCGAAACUGCAUUCGAUACUGCGGUGCUUGAGGACUGGAGAGGAGACUGGAAUUUACGGUGUAGCAGUGAAAUGCGUAGAGAUCGUAAGGAAGACCAGUGGCGAAGGCGGGUCUCUGGACAGUUCCUGACACUGAGGCACGAAGGCCAGGGGAGCAAACGGG
This 253-nucleotide ribosomal RNA is filed under the name uncultured bacterium. Its description in RNAcentral is "partial 16S ribosomal RNA". It matches the Rfam family "Bacterial small subunit ribosomal RNA", at positions 524 to 776 of the family's 1533-position model. The record is from RNAcentral.